This 253-nucleotide ribosomal RNA is filed under the name uncultured bacterium. RNAcentral's name for it is "partial 16S ribosomal RNA". It matches the Rfam family "Bacterial small subunit ribosomal RNA", at positions 524 to 776 of the family's 1533-position model. The record is from RNAcentral.
UACAGAGGUCUCGAGCGUUGUUCGGAUUCAUUGGGCGUAAAGGGUGCGUAGGCGGCGGGGCAAGUCUGAUGUGAAAUCCCGGGGCUCAACCCCGGAACUGCAUUGGAUACUGCCUUGCUAGAGUACUGGAGAGGAGACUGGAAUUUACGGUGUAGCAGUGAAAUGCGUAGAGAUCGUAAGGAAGACCAAUGGCGAAGGCAAGUCUCUAGACAGUUACUGACGCUGAGGCACGAAGGCCAGGGGAGCAAACGGG